RNAcentral lists this ribosomal RNA (253 nucleotides) under uncultured bacterium. RNAcentral's name for it is "partial 16S ribosomal RNA". It matches the Rfam family "Bacterial small subunit ribosomal RNA", at positions 524 to 776 of the family's 1533-position model. The record is from RNAcentral.
UACGUAGGGGGCAAGCGUUGUCCGGAAUCAUUGGGCGUAAAGCGGGUGUAGGUGGCCAUGUAAGUCAGAUGUGAAAGCCCAGGGCUUAACCCUGGAAGUGCAUUUGAUACUGCGUGGCUUGAGUGUGGGAGAGGAUAGUAGAAUUCCUGGUGUAGUGGUGAAAUACGUAGAUAUCAGGAGGAAUACCGGAGGCGAAGGCGGCUAUCUGGCCUAACACUGACACUCAGACCCGAAAGCGUGGGGAUCAAACAGG